Molecule: ribosomal RNA, 292 nt
Filed under: uncultured bacterium
Lineage: Bacteria
Description: partial 16S ribosomal RNA
Rfam family: Bacterial small subunit ribosomal RNA
Source: RNAcentral
GUGUCAGCCGCCGCGGUAAUACGAAGGGGGCAAGCGUUGCUCGGAAUCACUGGGCGUAAAGCGUACGUAGGCGGGUCGUUAAGUCAGGGGUGAAAUCCUGGAGCUCAACUCCAGAACUGCCCUUGAUACUGGCGAUCUUGAGUUCGAGAGAGGUUGGUGGAACUGCGAGUGUAGAGGUGAAAUUCGUAGAUAUUCGCAAGAACACCAGUGGCGAAGGCGGCCAACUGGCUCGAUACUGACGCUGAGGUACGAAAGCGUGGGGAGCAAACAGGAUUAGAAACCCCGGUAGUCC